Molecule: ribosomal RNA, 274 nt
Filed under: uncultured bacterium
Lineage: Bacteria
Description: partial 16S ribosomal RNA
Rfam family: Bacterial small subunit ribosomal RNA
Source: RNAcentral
AUACGGAGGGUGCAAGCGUUAUUCGGAAUCACUGGGCGUAAAGGACGCGUAGGCGGGUUGGCAAGUCAGAUGUGAAAUCCUACAGCUUAACUGUAGAACUGCAUUUGAAACUGCUAACCUAGAGUGUGGGAGGGGGAGAUGGAAUUAGUGGUGUAGGGGUAAAAUCCGUAGAUAUCACUAGGAAUACCGAAAGCGAAGGCGAUCUCCUGGAACAUAACUGACGCUAAGGCGUGAAAGCGUGGGGAGCAAACAGGUUUAGAAACCCUAGUAGUCC